GGAGGAUCCGAGCGUUAUCCGGAUUUAUUGGGUUUAAAGGGAGCGUAGGCGGACGUUAAGUCAGUUGUGAAAGUUUGAGGCUCAACCUUAAAAUUGCAGUUGAUACUGGCGUCCUUGAGUACGGUUGAGGCAGGCGGAAUUCGUGGUGUAGCGGUGAAAUGCUUAGAUAUCACGAAGAACUCCGAUUGCGAAGGCAGCCUGCUAAGCUGCAACUGACAUUGAGGCUCGAAAGUGUGGGUAUCAAACAGGAUUAGAUACCCUGGUAGUCCACACGGUAAACGAUGAAUACUCGCUGUUUGCGAUAUACUGCAAGCGGCCAAGCGAAAGCGUUAAGUAUUCCACCUGGGGAGU
RNAcentral lists this ribosomal RNA (351 nucleotides) under uncultured bacterium. RNAcentral describes it as "bacterial SSU rRNA". It matches the Rfam family "Bacterial small subunit ribosomal RNA", at positions 527 to 881 of the family's 1533-position model. The record is from RNAcentral.